Molecule: long non-coding RNA, 5722 nt
Organism: Balaenoptera acutorostrata (minke whale)
Lineage: Eukaryota; Metazoa; Chordata; Mammalia; Artiodactyla; Balaenopteridae
Exons: 8
Source: RefSeq, a predicted model, not a curated record
CUAAAGGGGGUUUCUGAGCAGCUGUAUUAGCUAUGAACAGCUGCUUGACCAACCUCCCUGUUUUAGUGGCUUAAAACAAUGACAACAUAUAUUAUGCUUGCAAAUUUGCUAUUUGGGCAAAGCUCAGUGAAGAUAACUCUUUUCUCUUCCACUCAACAUCAACUGCAAAAGCUUGAAGGCUAGGAGCUGAGAUUAUCUGAAGACUUGUUCAUUCACAUGUAUGGUGGUUGAUGCUGGCUGUCAGGGCCCACCAGAGAGGUGAUGGUGGGCAAGAGUGGUCUUCAGAACUGCAAGGGACCUCACUGACUCCUGCAGACCCACCAGCCCAACUGCCUGGAAACUGCCAUUGUCCAAGAUAAUCUCCCACUUCGGGCCCCCAAUUUUAGUCUCCCAACAACGCGGGAUUCCGCCUCCAUCCGAUCCAGUGAUUGCAUCCAGUUCUUGGAGCAGCAUGGCGUCCACAGCCCUUUCUGCGGUGCCGUUAUCAACAUAGCACCAGAUUAUCCACCCAGUCUGAGAAUUUAACGCUGCAACUUCGUUCUUCUCUGUGGCUAAAACCAACUUUUUGGAUCCAGGGAAAAUUCCAAGACGGCAAACCUGAGCUUCCCCAAAUACCGCUGUCUCCAAACUUCCCCGCUUGGUCUCUAUAGACAGCAGCUGCACGGAUACGCAGAGAAGCCCAGAGUCAGAAACCAGAAGCCUACGGGCACAGCCGUGCUGGGAGCCUAGGCCCCGCCCGCUGCCGGCCCGGCAUGCACCGCGGCGCAGGCUCGGACUCCGCGGAAUCUGAGAGGAGGCACCGCACGCAACAUCUUUGAUAUUUAUGCCUUGUGUCUUUUUCGCACCUUAAUUCACUGGCAGGCAUCCCUCGGACCAAGUUGAGGACAAUAGAGCUCGCUACCAAGAUAUUUAAUCAUCUGAGGGAGAAGCCAAGAGACGCUUAGGUGAAUAACUACUCAAAUUAUUCUUCCAAGAAGAGGAAAGAUCACCUGAAGUGAAGAAGAAGAAAAUGAAAUUGAGUAAGAAGACAUAGAGUAGAAGAGAAGGAAAGGAAAGACUCUUCUUUGCAGCUUUUCCAUCAUGGUGGACUUAAGGGUUACUGGUAGUUUCUGCUCACUCAGCUCCUGAAUCCUAACAUUACAUUAGUAAAGGUUUUCCCCCUUAAAAUAUCCAGCUGGUCUGCUGCUGCUUUGUACUUUAUAAUCUUCCACCUUGAGCUGCUAAGACCGUGGUUCUUCACCUAGUUUGAGGAUGUAGGAUGGCUUGUGAAGUACUCAAGGCAAGAAAACCACAAACUCACAGUUCUUGCCUGAUACAGCAGCUAUCUUUUUAAAGGACACAGAAUUGCUAGAGAAAGUUUUAGAAGCAAUCUGACUUAAUUUUAGUCAGAGUUCUUCAUUUCAAGUGAAGGAAGCAGAUUCUGGCUGAUUCACCAGAAGUUUGUUAAGUAGGUAUUAGGAGCCCACAGAUUCACUGGGAAAAGAACAAAAAGCUCAACACUAAGCCUGCAGGAACGUACUCCAAACUGCAGAAUGUCUCACUGUGAAGACUUUGAUCAUAACUUACUAAGCACUAGAUUCUACAGCUUGCCUUGCUGAUGUCCAGGUAUUUGAUUUUGUUGCAAACUCAACUAUUGCCUGAACUUGCUGUGUGUGGCUGCCCUUGUAGCCACCACUGCUUGGUAAAGCCCAAUGGCUCUGCCAGCAUUCCUGCUGCAAGGUGGACCCAGAGUGCACUCCAUCCUCACGUGGCUGCCUCUUAAACCAAAAUCUCACUCUGCCUCAUGAUAUUGGUGGCCUCUCCUUAUGUGCUUGUAUUUCAGCCACAAGGGUGGGAAAUUGCAUUCCAACUUCUUUUGGGGGCAAAUAGGACAUGGGUAUUUCUCCAAUGUAGAAGAUAUAUUAGUUUGCCACUGCUGCCAGUACCGCAGUCUGGCUUAAACAACAAAAACUUACUUUAUCAGAUUUCUAGAGGCUAGAAGUCCCGGAGUAAGGUGUUAGCAGAGUUGGUUUCUUCUAAGGGCUUCUCUCCUUGGAUUAUAGAUGGCUGUCUACUCUCUCUGCCUUCACGUAUUCUUUCUUCUCUGUGUGUCUGUGUCCUAAUCUCCUCUUCUUAUAAGGACACUGGUCAAAUUAGAUGAGGGCCUACUCCAAUAACCUGAUUUUAACCUAAUAACCUGUUUAAAUACCCUGUCUCCAAAUACCACCAUAUUCUGAAGUAUUGAGAUUAGGACUCCAGCAUAUGAAUUUUGAGGUGACACAAUUCAGCCCGAAACAUAAGGGUAUUUUAAAAGCAUGGCAACUAAAUGCAGUGGAUAAUCCUGGAUUAGAUUUUAGAAUGAUAUAUAAGAGAACAAUAUUGCUGUAAAGGAGAAAACUGGGGCAAUUCAAGAAAUUCAGAUAUAGACUAUGUAUUAGAUAAUUGUUUCAUCCAUGUUAAAUUUGCUAAAUUCAGUCAUUGUACUAUGGUCAUGUAAGAGAAGGCCUUUGUUUCUAGGAGUUUCAUACUGAAGUAUUUAGAAGUAUAUAUCAUGAUGCCUGAGAUUUAAUCUCAUUGCUGUGCUAUUUUUGUACCUAAAUGGAAGGCUCAGAUUUUUUUCAAAACAAACAAAAAAAUUUUUAAAGGUGAUGGGAGGUUGCAAAAAUAUAGGAAAAUACAUUAAUCCACCCUUGACUGCCUCUCAUUGAUAUAUACUGUUCUUCAAAUUCUGAAAUAAACAACUCCUGCUAAAUGCAAUGCAACUCUCACGCUUCUGAAUAAAUACUGGUUUAUUCAGUGAUAGAGAAAUUCCAGGUGAUGGCAAGAUCCUUGGAAAUAGAUGAGAGAAUUUGAGUGAAGGUACAGAUCAUCAUUGUUGAGAAAGUCAAGAAAGUGUGAGGCUGGGGUAUUAAAAAUAUUUUUUACAUGGAUGUAGGAUGUCCUUCACAGGAUAAUAGAAUGGAUUUUGUUGACUGCAAAUAGUGAGACAGGCUUCAGAAUGGAUGUCUCUGAAGAAGUGACUAGGAAGUUAGUAGAAUUGAAUGGUGGAAAAAAUAUAUAGGAGGGUGUGCGAGUUACAUGUCAUUUACUUCGAAGGAAAGGUGGAAAUGGAAGGGAAAUGCCAACAACAUCCUGACUUUGUAAUGUGUUGGACAUGAGAGAAGGCGGGACCACGAUUUCCAGAGCUCUACAAGGGAGGGAUUGGCCUUGAGGGAAGAUCAGGUUUCAGUUAAAGCCAAAAAAAGGGAGGACUAGGUAGGUCCUUAAAGAACUUGUGGGCUAUAGGACAGGUUGCUAUUGAGGGGUCAGAGAUUGUAAAAAACUUUGAAUAAUAUUAAGUAGAAGCACAGUCAGUCCCCUACAUACGAACCUUCAAGUUGCGAACUUUCAAAGAUGCAAACAUGCUACUACCCAGACAUUACUGGAUCGUUUUUUCAAGAGGGUAGAUAGAACUGAAUCCAGCAAGGAACCAGAACCUGUGCCAUCAACAUCAGGCGUGAGUGAAAUUGCAGCUCGCCCUCCGUCUCCUAUUGCUGACGAUCCUUCAGCUCUACCACCUGCCACCUCCUUUCCGUCCUCUAGUCAGUAACUCUUCUUGCCUGUUCACUCAAUGCCAGCCCCUGUAUGCCAGCUGUUGUAUUACUGUACUUUUCAAGGUACUGUACUGUAAGAUUAAAAAUGUUUUCUUUCCUUAUUUUUUAAUGUAUUAUUUGUGUGAAAAGCAUUAUAAACCUAUUACAGGUACAGUACUAUAUAGCCGAUUAUGUUAGUUGGGUACCUAGGCUAACUUUGCUGGAUUUACAAACAAACUGGACUUACGAACACGCUCUCGGAACAGAACUCGUUCGUAUGUGGGGGACUUACUGUAUGUAUGCAAAGUGUCCCUUUAACACUGAAUUGUUUUUCUGCAAUUGUCCAAUGAGAUAUUCCAACUUUGUUUAGUCUCUAAGGUUAAAAUUUUAAACAGUGUUAGUGUACAGUGUCUAAAGUUGCUCUCCAAAACAAUCAGAGAAAUAUUGGAAUUUUCAUUGUUAGAUAAUGUCUCAAAAUUGUAACAUUCAAGGGUUUUGUUUCUUUAUAAAAAUUAUAACAUUCUCAUUUUAAUUAAUUUAUUAAAAUUUUAAUGGAAAAAGAAUAAAACACAGCACAACAUAAAUUUUAAAAAUAUAUGUAGAUUCAUUGGUAGAAGAUUAUUUUAACAUCAGCAAAGAAGAGAUCGUAGAAGAGGGUUUUAAGGAAAAGCUAAUGUGACCUUAAAGGAAUUUGCACUCUUUGGUCUCCACACAUGUGCAGUUAUCACAGAGUUCCCAGACUCCAAGUGUUUAUUCACAUCUGUCAGCUAAAUCAUAGAUCCAAAUGCGAAACGUAACACUCAGGAACAUUAUGUGGAUUUGUGACACUCCCUGGAGGACUUUGGGUCCAUAAAGCAAUGAAUGGAUUAUAAGAAGACAUAAAUAUGGUAUUUUCAUCUAUGACAGAUGCAAUCUUACUCCACUGUUAUUUAUAUUAUAUAAGGAAAACUGAACCUAUUUUCCUCAGUCGAACUGAAGGGAGGCACCCUUAGGGAUGAAUAAAUGAAUAUCUCACUAUGAAUUUCCAAUUCCUAUGAAUUCAUCUUUGAAAACAUCAUGUUUUAGAGAUUUUUUUAAAUGGCUGAUGUUUGUUUAUUUUUAUACUUAUGUGAAAAAAAUGGAACUAAAAGGAAAAUGUGAGAUGGAAUUGUGAUAACAGAAUCAUAAAUUUUUCAUUUUUUGCCAUUAUCCUGAAUCCUGCAAAACUUACCUAACUUUGGAUUCUAAUGACCAGUUGGACACCCCAACCAGGUUCCUAUAAAGCCUGCUUUGAGUCUCUUAACAUGCUCUGUGUCUCUUAACAUGCUUUGCAUCCUCAUCUCCAGUUCAUGUUAGGGAGGUAGGAUGUAUGGAGUUCUGGAAAGAGCACAGGUUUUGAAUUUAGAGGAGCAAUGCUCUAGUAUUAAUUCCACCUAGAAUCUAUCUUUAUAAACUUGAAGAUCUUGGAUUGAACUAGGAGAUGCCCUAAGCUUUGUAUACCUUUAAAAUGAUACUAAGCUUUUGUAUCACUAUUUAUACUAAUUUCAAUUUUAAUUGACAAAACUUUAUAUUGUAUGUUUUAAGGUGGUCUAAUUGUUUGUUUAUCUUCAUAUAAAAUCUUCAAUGUCCUCCCAAUGGUGUAUCAACUUAUAAAAAAUCCUCCUGAACCUGAUAAAAAUUGUUAGGGAAAAUAUGUAGUCCAAGACUGAAAUAUGUUUUCCUUUAUUGACUAGAACUGAUUAAGAUAUAGUGAAUUUAUGUUGAUGGACAGUGUGGCAUUGUAGAAGGAACCAGUAGCAUGUCAGUAUAUCUGAAUUUCAAUUUUAUCUUCUGUAAAAUAUUGCUAAGGAUCCCAAAUGUUCCUAAUGACAGGAAAUAAUGUAUAUGAUAUAGAAAGUUACCAGCCAUUGAAAAUGUUGACUUGGUUUUUGUUCUAAGAUUAUUUCUGAUUUCUUUCCUAUUAUUUUAUAAUUUUUAUAUUAUCCUAAAUUUUGUUUGAGUUUCUAAUAGUGUCUUAAAUAACUUGACAUUUGGCUCUGUCAUAUUAUCCUACCCUUAUUUUCUUCUCUCCACUUUUUCUUUCUUAUUUAGAAUUCAAGCAAAUAAACAGUGAACUUUCUUUACUGUCAUUGCAUUUUAAUGCCACCAUCACAGUUUUAACUAUUAUCGAAUUAUAACAAAUUUUAAUACAU